Molecule: long non-coding RNA, 2876 nt
Organism: Antechinus flavipes (yellow-footed antechinus)
Lineage: Eukaryota; Metazoa; Chordata; Mammalia; Dasyuromorphia; Dasyuridae
Exons: 3
Source: RefSeq, a predicted model, not a curated record
UGCGGUUCCGGUUGAGGGCUAACUCCAGAAGUUGCUGUUGGCCAAGGAAGGCGCCCGGCUCUAAGGCCCACAGGCUGUUGUUCUGCAUGUAGAGAGGUCAGAAAGCUUCUCGAGAAAGAUGAUUUCUCUAGUUGCCAGAGGUGCUCAAAGUCAGUGGCCACUGAGGCAGUGAAGAGGGAGAACUGAAUAACUGCACAAGGAUAGAAUUUGUCAACCUCCAGAGCAGGAAACUGAGGCAGAAGAGAGACUGAGUGACAUGCCCAUGGUCACACAACUAUCAAGUUUCUGAGGCUGUAUUUGAACUUGGGUCUUCCUAACUCCAGGAACUUUCUGCCACCGCACUCACUGUGCCACUUAGCUGCCCUGGUUCGAGAAGGAUUGGCAGAUAGGACUGAUAAGCAUUGGCCAUGAUGCACACAAGCCGUGGUGAAUGGGAGAGGUAUUGGAGGACAAUUAUCCACAAGAAGCAGGAUCUGGCACACAGGAAUAAGGAUGAGGGCUGGAUCUGGAUUUUACUGUUAUAUGGAACUUCCAGGUGAGAAACUGUCUCCACUAAUCCAGGUCCCUGAUUUUCUUAGUAGCUUAAAGAAUUGCCUAGAAUACUGAGGGUAAGAACUGCUCCGAGGUCACAUAAUUAGUAUGUGUAAGAGGAGGAACUUGAAAUCCGUCUUCAAGGACAGCUCUCUCUCUUAGCUGCCUGCCAAGUAUUACAUAAUGAAUGCAUUUAGAUCAAUUUUUUAAAAAGGGAAUUGAAUCAGUCUUCGGGUUCCAAUGAACUUUGAUAUGACAAAAUUUUGGAACAUAUUAUUAAAAAAGUAGUUAGUAAACAUUUAGCCAGAAAUGGUGAUCACAGAGAUUUCAUUUGGGUCAGGCCAAAUUAACAUUUCUUCUGCAUUGUACAAGAUGUUCCUAAAUUCUCAGUUUUCAUCUUAAAUGGCUUAGCCAUUAAUGGGUUAUUAGAUUGAUAGGUGAAAGCAAUGCUAUUGACAGGGUUUAUCUAUCUAAUUAUUCUAAAGAAGAAAUCUGGUCUCUAAACACAUUUCCCUUUGGUUUAAGUGAAAUCCACGUGCAGAUACCAACAAAAUUAGGGAAAAAGGAAGAAAUAAAAUGCGGUGAAAGGAUCAUCAAUUCAGAGCUGGAUGGGGUUUUAAAAGUUCAUCCAUUCUGAUCCCCCUUGAUUUUAUAAACAAGGAAAUGGAGUCCUCAAGAAGUCAAAGUCCCAUAGGCAGUAAGUAAGUAAGGAGCGGAGGCUAAUCUGAAGCCAGGCCUCUGACUGCAAGGUUGGAAGGCUUGCCUCCAUAUCCACUGCCUCACAGAUCCACUUCCCCUCACUCACAGCCCCAGAGAAGUGUGCCUUCUACUUCUGUCCCUAGUCCCUAGCACAGUGCAUGUUGUAGGGAGUCGAUAAAUAUUCCUUGAAGUUAAUAAGCACUCUCUGGAUCAUUUACAACAAAUGUUCAAUUUCAGGUUGGAGUGGGGUCUGAUCGUUUACUGGCAAUGUGGCCUGAUUUUUAGGCAGCAAUCUGGAAAUUAGAUUUAUCUAGAUAAUUGAGAAUGUCAAACAAUCACAGAAUUGGGAAUUAAAAGGGACAUGGCACCCAUCCGGUCCAACUCCAGCCUGGAAGGAACCUCGACUAUAAUGUGGCCAGUAAGUGGUCAUCUAGCCUCUGACUGAAGAAUUCCACGGAGAUUAAACCCAGGACCUUGAAGGCAGCCUAUUUCACUUUUGUCCAGUUUCAGUCAUUGGGAAGUUGUCCCAAGGCCUUUCCCAUCUUGUUGCUCUCCUCUGGACACUCCCGGUGCCCAUGAUGGAUUACACCAUCCUCUGCAGUCUGACCAGGGCAGAGGCUGCUGGGACCACUGUGCCCCCCUGUUGUUGUGCCUCCUGCUUUCUCAUUGACUGCUUUCAGUCCACUGAAUCCCCUCCCCAUCUUUUAGAGAACAACUAUCUCACCAAGCUGCCCCCCAAGAUGAUUUGGGAGGGGAGGUAUCUAAAUGUAAGACUACAUCAAGACUAAUUUUCCUUUUGGCAGCUUUCAGUUAGGACCCUGACUCUGUCAUCCAGCACCUUAGCCAAGCUUAGCCUGUCAGAGGCAACGUUUAUGAGCAUGCCAUUUAUCCCUUUAUCCAACUGAGUGAUUAAAAUGUCAAGCAAAGCCAAGGGCAGAUCCUGGGGUGCUCCACUGCUGCUUCUGCCACAACAACAUCCAACCAUUAAUGAGUCCAAGGCUGGCUAACUGACUUGUUCUGAAGACAUUGAAUUGGAUUAUUGUCUAGUGCCCAUCUCACCUCUAUCUUUUCCAUAAAAAUAUUGAGAUAUUUUAUCUAAAGCUUACUAAAAAUCCAGAUAAACUAUAUCUAGAGUAAUUUCCCUCAUCUCCUAGUUCAGUAAUCCUGUCAAAAAAGUAAAGAGGUUACAUGACCUAGAUUUCUGCCCAUCUUCCUUCCUCCCUGCAUCCAGCUGCCCCUUCCCUCUACUCUGCUCAGUACUUCCUCUCCUCCCUCUGUACCAGAGUCUUGUCAGAAGGUUAAAUUACAUCUGAUUUGGGCCAAGAAGGAGCCGCAGCUGUCCAAUUAAGCUAAUCAGAGCCAGCUUGACAGCAGGGAAGGAAGAUCUUUCACCAAUUCUCCAACCUCCUAUUGACAAUCUAUUUCCUUUGCCAUCUCAAGUCUCCCACUUACUUUCUCUUUUUUCCCUAGGCCCUGGCCUUUGAGCUUGCUUUCCUAAAGUGUUGAGUGGUUGAGGAACUCCUAAAGAAUAUAUAAACUCAACUCAGAGAUUCAUGUAAAGAGACUUUACUGUGUUUUGUUACUAGAUAGAAGCCGUAGAAAAAACACCAAUUAUUUAUUUUUAUUAAAAAAAAUUUUAGGUCAUA